Long non-coding RNA from Sander lucioperca (pikeperch), 1064 nucleotides. RefSeq lists it as uncharacterized. The transcript has 2 exons. NCBI's taxonomy places the organism in Eukaryota, Metazoa, Chordata, Actinopteri, Perciformes, Percidae. The record is from RefSeq and is a predicted model, not a curated record.
UUUUUUUUAAACUCGGUUUAAAAUCCAGUUUUGAACACAAUUCAGUUUUACAGUUGCUUUUAAUUCAGCACCUGCAACGAUCUGUGUUCUUUGAUUUCUAUUUUUUUCCAAUAUCAAUUCCUAGGUUAUUGGAGCAGGGAUGCUUCCGCUUUUUGUUGUCGCCUAAACCGUUUAGUUUUGGAUGAUCGGUCAAAGAUUCUGACAACCAGCGGGGAGAAGCACAACGCCCAGCCGGGGAGGGAGCGCAGGAGGCCGGACAGAUCUACUGGGCUGCAUCGGGGAGACGCACCAUUAGACAAGGAGAGAGCCAUGCCUCACAGCGCUGGUCGACCAGGUCUACCGGAAGAGAUUAAGAGCGCAUAAUACAGCUACAGUAGGUUUACCUCCAACCUUUGACCCGGCCAGCUCCAGCAGCAUCAGCCUACCUACCGGCCUGCCUGCCUGCCUGUCUGCAUUAGCACAGCGGGCUGUGUAACCUACUGUAUGAGCGCCAUCUACAGAGCGAUGCUGCACACAGUCUGUUGGUGAAAAUGAUGGUGAUGAUGAUGAUGAUGAUGAUGUUGAUGAUGGUCUACUGACUGACUCUCCCUCUGCAGGCUGCGAGCUCACCUUGCACACAUCCUGACCACACACGGUUAAAUGCAGUCAAGACAUGAAGCACAGCAGCUUUUUUAGUAGCGGAACAUUGGUUUUGCAUCAUUAUGCUGAACUCAGAAGAUGCAAAGACUUCUUUAUUAAAGAGUGUUUUUUAUUGAUUUAUGAACAGGACGCUAAAAAAAAGAAUGCAAUGAGAAAAAAAAACACAUUUUCUAAAGAGAUUUUAUUUUUUUCAUGAAAAAAAAACUAAGCUGUGAUAUUUGACGCUUUACACUUUCCACCAGAGGCUUACUUACUGGGCCGCCAGAGGUGUUUGUAAAAAAUAAGCCUAUAGUUCAAUUUCAUUAUUAUUUAAACUGUAAGAAAAUUGGGAAAAUUUAAAAUUAAGAUUGUUUAAAAUAUCUUGUUUAGGCUCUUCAAUAUCACUUUAAAAAUGUAGUGCCAACAAUAAAAAAUCUUCCCAUGUG